Molecule: ribosomal RNA, 253 nt
Filed under: uncultured bacterium
Lineage: Bacteria
Description: partial 16S ribosomal RNA
Rfam family: Bacterial small subunit ribosomal RNA
Source: RNAcentral
UACGUAGGGUGCAAGCGUUGUCCGGAUUUAUUGGGCGUAAAGAGCUCGUAGGCGGUCUGUCGCGUCGGAUGUGAAAACCCAGGGCUCAACCCUGGGCCUGCAUUCGAUACGGGCAGACUAGAGUGUGGCAGGGGAGACUGGAAUUCCUGGUGUAGCGGUGAAAUGCGCAGAUAUCAGGAGGAACACCGGUGGCGAAGGCGGGUCUCUGGGCUGUAACUGACGCUGAGGAGCGAAAGCAUGGGGAGCGAACAGG